Molecule: ribosomal RNA, 451 nt
Filed under: uncultured bacterium
Lineage: Bacteria
Description: partial 16S ribosomal RNA
Rfam family: Bacterial small subunit ribosomal RNA
Source: RNAcentral
GUGGGGAAUAUUGGACAAUGGGCGAAAGCCUGAUCCAGCCAUGCCGCGUGUGUGAAGAAGGUCUUCGGAUUGUAAAGCACUUUAAGCGAGGAGGAGGCUCCUUUAGUUAAUACCUAAAGUGAGUGGACGUUACUCGCAGAAUAAGCACCGGCUAACUCUGUGCCAGCAGCCGCGGUAAUACAGAGGGUGCGAGCGUUAAUCGGAUUUACUGGGCGUAAAGCGUGCGUAGGCGGCUUUUUAAGUCGGAUGUUAAAUCCCUGAGCUUAACUUAGGAAUUACAUUCGAUACUGGAAAGCUAGAGUAUGGGAGAGGAUGGUAGAAUUCCAGGUGUAGCGGUGAAAUGCGUAGAGAUCUGGAGGAAUACCGAUGGCGAAGGCAGCCAUCUGGCCUAAUACUGACGCUGAGGUACGAAAGCAUGGGGAGCAAACAGGAUUAGAUACCCCUGUAGUCC